AUUGAACGCUGGCGGCAUGCCUUACACAUGCAAGUCGAACGGCAGCACGGGAGCAAUCCUGGUGGCGAGUGGCGAACGGGUGAGUAAUAUAUCGGAACGUGCCCAGUCGUGGGGAUAACGUAGCGAAAGCUACGCUAAUACCGCAUACGAUCUACGGAUGAAAGCGGGGGAUCGCAAGACCUCGCGCGAUUGGAGCGGCCGAUAUCAGAUUAGGUAGUUGGUGAGGUAAAGGCUCACCAAGCCGACGAUCUGUAGCUGGUCUGAGAGGACGACCAGCCACACUGGGACUGAGACACGGCCCAGACUCCUACGGGAGGCAGCAGUGGGGAAUUUUGGACAAUGGGCGCAAGCCUGAUCCAGCAAUGCCGCGUGCAGGAUGAAGGCCUCGGUU
RNAcentral lists this ribosomal RNA (391 nucleotides) under uncultured bacterium. RNAcentral's name for it is "bacterial SSU rRNA". It matches the Rfam family "Bacterial small subunit ribosomal RNA", at positions 30 to 424 of the family's 1533-position model. The record is from RNAcentral.